ACCUGGCUGGCUCAGUCCAUGGAGCUUGUGACUCUCGAUCUCAGGGUUGUGGGUUCAAGCCCCAUGUUGAGUG
Molecule: transfer RNA, 73 nt
Filed under: Felis catus (domestic cat)
Lineage: Eukaryota; Metazoa; Chordata; Mammalia; Carnivora; Felidae
Also listed under: 4 other names
Rfam family: tRNA
About the family: Transfer RNA (tRNA) molecules are approximately 80 nucleotides in length. Their secondary structure includes four short double-helical elements and three loops (D, anti-codon, and T loops).
Source: Rfam by way of RNAcentral